UCCCUGGCAGUCCAGUGGUUAAGAUGCUGCAUUUCCACUGCAGGAGGCACAGGUUUGAUCCCUGGUUGGGGAA
This 73-nucleotide transfer RNA is filed under the name Bos taurus (domestic cattle). It matches the Rfam family "tRNA". Rfam says of the family: Transfer RNA (tRNA) molecules are approximately 80 nucleotides in length. Their secondary structure includes four short double-helical elements and three loops (D, anti-codon, and T loops). Lineage: Eukaryota; Metazoa; Chordata; Mammalia; Artiodactyla; Bovidae. The record is from Rfam by way of RNAcentral. RNAcentral also lists the same sequence under 5 other names.